GCUCCUGUAGUGUAGUCCGGUCAAAUUAUUGCCGAAAGCAUCUGGCCCUCUCGAGGCCAAGACCCGAGUUCAAAUCUCGGCAGGAGCA
Molecule: transfer RNA, 88 nt
Filed under: Nanobdellota archaeon
Lineage: Archaea; Nanobdellati; Nanobdellota
Description: tRNA-Glu
Rfam family: tRNA
About the family: Transfer RNA (tRNA) molecules are approximately 80 nucleotides in length. Their secondary structure includes four short double-helical elements and three loops (D, anti-codon, and T loops). Further hydrogen bonds mediate the characteristic L-shaped molecular structure. tRNAs have two regions of fundamental functional importance: the anti-codon, which is responsible for specific mRNA codon recognition, and the 3' end, to which the tRNAs corresponding amino acid is attached (by aminoacyl-tRNA synthetases). tRNAs cope with the degeneracy of the genetic code in two manners: having more than one tRNA (with a specific anti-codon) for a particular amino acid; and 'wobble' base-pairing, i.e. permitting non-standard base-pairing at the 3rd anti-codon position.
Source: RNAcentral